Molecule: ribosomal RNA, 478 nt
Filed under: uncultured Planctomycetales bacterium
Lineage: Bacteria; Pseudomonadati; Planctomycetota; Planctomycetia; Planctomycetales
Description: bacterial SSU rRNA
Rfam family: Bacterial small subunit ribosomal RNA
Source: RNAcentral
UUUCGCAAUGCCCGAAAGGGUGACGAAGCGACGCCGCGUGUGGGAAGAAGGCCUUCGGGUUGUAAACCGCUGUUGGGAGUUAGGAAGUGUGGGAGUGUUAAUAGCGCUUCCACUUGACUAAAGCUCCAGAGGAAGCCACGGCUAACUCUGUGCCAGCAGCCGCGGUAAUACAGAGGCGGCAAGCGUUGUUCGGAAUUAUUGGGCGUAAAGAGCACGUAGGCGGCUCUGCAAGUCAGCUGUGAAAGCCUUCCGCUUAACGGAAGAACAGCAGUUGGAACUACAGGGCUUGAGUGCGGGAGGGGAGAGUGGAACUUCUGGUGGAGCGGUGAAAUGCGUAGAUAUCAGAAGGAACGCCGGCGGCGAAAGCGGCUCUCUGGUCCGUAACUGACGCUGAGUGUGCGAAAGCUAGGGGAGCAAACGGGAUUAGAUACCCCGGUAGUCCUAGCCGUAAACGAUGGGCACUAAGUAGAGGGGUUUU